RNAcentral lists this ribosomal RNA (440 nucleotides) under uncultured bacterium. RNAcentral's name for it is "bacterial SSU rRNA". It matches the Rfam family "Bacterial small subunit ribosomal RNA", at positions 338 to 794 of the family's 1533-position model. The record is from RNAcentral.
CCUACGGGAGGCAGCAGUGGGGAAUAUUGCGCAAUGGGCGGAAGCCUGACGCAGCGACGCCGCGUGGGGGAUGACGGCCUUCGGGUUGUAAACCUCUUUCGGCAGGGACGAAGUUGACGUGUACCUGUUGAAGAAGCGCCGGCUAACUACGUGCCAGCAGCCGCGGUAAUACGUAGGGCGCAAGCGUUGUCCGGAAUUAUUGGGCGUAAAGAGCUCGUAGGCGGCUGGUCGCGUCUGCCGUGAAAGCCCGUGGCUUAACUACGGGUCUGCGGUGGAUACGGGCCGGCUGGAGGUAGGUAGGGGCAAGCGGAAUUCCUGGUGUAGCGGUGAAAUGCGCAGAUAUCAGGAGGAACACCGGUGGCGAAGGCGGCUUGCUGGGCCUUACCUGACGCUGAGGAGCGAGAGCGUGGGGAGCGAACAGGAUUAGAUACCCUUGUAGU